UCAUAAGACUCGAACCGCGUCGCGUGGGUGGGCUUUUUCUAGAAGCAAAUGCUUCGAAGUUUCGCUGCCCAAAAACCAGACGGAUUGUCAACUCCAUAGUUGUCUACGGCAGAAGAAGUGGGUCAGAAACCAGAAUUUAUUUUCCCCCAAUAACCAGACCCGCACAUCCGUAGAUGGUUGAUCACCAACGCUCUGCUAAUACGGGGGAAAUCACUGUUUGAACCAAGAAUAGGCGAUUGAUCGGUACAUUUUGUGGCAGCCAAUAUUUGGGGAGAUUAGUUUCAGUCCAGCGUGUGGAUAUUUAUUUUGUAGCAUGGCGAUGAUGGGUUCCAUUACAAAAUUAAGCAGGAUUGUAUUUCCUUCUGCUAACAAGGAGGUCUAAUUGAGAGCUUUGUCCAAUGGCUGCUCCAAGGACUCAGACAGCCUCCUCUUUCAAAUCCCGGUAUACUUAUCAGGUCUUCUUGAGUUUUAGCAGCAAAGAUACUGGAACAACCUUUUCAGAUCACCUUCAUGCAGCAUUGGAGCGUGUAGGAAUUCACACCUUUAGGGCCGAUGAUGAGCUUGAGAGAGGAGAAGACAUGGAGUCAGAACUUCAACGAGCAUUCAAAGAAUCCAGGAUCUUGGCAAUUGUGUUCUCAGAAAGCUAUGCUUCUUCUGAACAUUGCCUGGAUGAACUUGUAAAAGUUAAUCUAUGCAGGAAGACGGGUGGGCAUAAAUUUUUGCCAAUCUACUACAAGGUGGACCCAUCUGAAGUUGGGAAGCAGAGAGGGUGUUUUGGAGAAGCAUUUGCAACUCUAGAAAAGCAAUUGGUGGCAGAAACAAGUGAAAGAACAAAGGAAUUGAUGGAGAAGGUGGAGAGCUGGAGGACAACUCUCAAAGAAGUUGCAAAUUUAAGAGGAAUGGUCUUAGAAAACCAAUCUGAUGGGCAUGAAGCGAAGUUUAUCCAGGAAAUUGUCAAAGAGAUUCAAAUCAAGUUGAAGCGUAAAGUCCUUAGCGUUGCCCAAUAUCAAGUUGGAAUAGAUUCUUUAGUUAAAAAAAUCAACUCUUGGUUACAAGAUGGGGCAAGUGACGUUGGCAUAGGAGUGAUAUCUGGAUUGGGUGGAAUAGGGAAGACAAACAUUGCCAAAGUUGUUUAUAACUUAAACUUUGACAGAUUUGAACGCAGUAGUUUUAUUGCAGAUAUUAGGGAGACUUCAAAACAACCUGAUGGAUUGGUCUGUUUACAACAACAACUUCUUUCAGAUAUUCUGAAAGGUAAAAGGCAAAAAGUUUGCAGUGUUGACAAAGGAACUACUAAGAUCGAACAUGCUGUGAGUUGUAAAACUGUUCUUCUUGUUCUUGAUGAUGUGGAUCAAUUGGACCAGUUGAAUGCAGUAAUAGGAAUGGGAGAUUGGUUUUACUCAGGGAGUAAAAUUAUAAUCACAACCAGGUAUGAACAUUUGUUGAAGUCAUAUAAGGUGCAUGAAUUUUAUAAGGUUAAGGAAUUGGACAACAAUGAAUCACUCCAGCUCUUCAGUUGGCAUGCCUUCAAACAAGGCCAUCCGGUUGAAGGUUUCAUGGAGCACUCAAAAAGUAUAAUAAAUCACUGCAGAGGUCUUCCUUUAGCUUUACAACUGUUGGGUUCUUCUCUCUGUGGCAAAACUAUGGAGGAAUGGGAAAUUGCAUUGGAGAAAAUGGACAGAGUCACUGGCAAUCAAAUUCUGGAAAAGCUAGCAAUGAGCUAUAUGUCCUUGCAAGAUGAUCACGACAAGAAAUUAUUCCUCCAUAUUGCUUCAUUUUUCAUCGGGAAAGACAAGGAAUAUGUGAUUAAUGUACUAGAUGAAUGCGAUUUUUGUACAACAGUUGGAAUAGAGAACCUCAAGGAUAGAGGUCUUAUAACAAUUGGAGAAGGGAAUAAAUUGAUGAUGCAUCAAUUGCUCCAAGACAUGGCAAGAAAAAUUAUUCAUGAUGAAUCACCAGAAGAUCCUGGGAAGCGUAGCAUACUGUGUGACCAUAUGGAUUCUUUUCAUGUACUGAAUGGAAAAACUGGUACAGAAAAGGUUCAGGGUCUCAUCCUCAACAUGAAUAUGCUGAAAAAAGAUGAGUCUUCCAUGAUGACUUUUAAUUUGAGUCGAACAAAGCGACUCCCUGGGCAAGGUACAUCAGAUGGAUCCAUUCUGCCAUGCCAAAGCAAUUCAUGGAAAAGGCAGCGUCUUGGGUUAUUCUCUUGGCAACCAAUUACUAAUGCUUUAACAGGAGUAUUUCUCAUGCCAAAGGCAGUGAAUAUCAAAACUGAUGCAUUUGCAAAUAUGCACAAACUGAGACUACUUAAGCUUAAUUUAGUGCAACUCAGUGGAAGCUAUAGAGUGUUUCCAAAAAAAUUAAGAUGGUUGUGUUGGUCUGAAUUUCCUCUAAAAUCUAUUCCUAGUGGUUUUCCUUUGGAAAGCCUGGUUGCUCUAGAGUUGUGCAAUAGCAGAUUGGAGCAAGUCUGGAAAGGAAAAAAGUUCCUCGGAUCAUUGAAAUUUCUGAAUCUCAGUUAUUGCCAUAGCCUUAUCAAAACACCUGACUUCUCAGGACUUCCUUACCUGGAAAGACUAUUGCUUAAGGACUGCACGAGUUUGGCUGAGGUUCAUGAUUCCGUCGGGGACCUAGAGAAUCUUCUUGUUCUGAAUCUCAAAGGCUGUAAAAAUCUUAGGACGCUUCCAAGAAAUAUUGGUCAACUAAAAUCCCUUGAGAAACUCAUUCUAGCAGGUUGCUCGAAGCUGGAAAUGUUGCCCAAGAAGCCUGAGAAAUUGAAGCCUUUGACUGUGCUACAUACUUGUGGAACAGCUAUAUGUCAGUCAUACGCAGGGAUUGAUUCAUGGUCUAAAACACUCCGGUCUUGGCUAUCAACCCAGAGCACAAAUGUCAAUCCAUCAUUGGGUUUUUUUCCAUGCACAUUAAGGAAAUUAAGUCUGAGGGACUGUAACCUGUCUGAUGAUGCUAUUCCAACGGAUCUCAGUGCUUUGUCUUUGUUGUUAGAACUGAAUUUGAGCCAAAACUCAAUUUCUAGCUUACCGGAUAGCAUCAGAGGCCUUACUAUGCUCAAGUCUCUUUUGUUAGAUACAUGCACGAGGCUCCAUUCACUUCCAAAGCUUCCACCAACUUUGAAGGAACUAAGUGUAAGAGACUGCAAAUCACUGGAAAGAAUGAUUAUUCCCCCAAACCUGUUGAAAUCAUUAGAUGUCAUGCAUCUAACUGGUUGUGACAAACUGGUUAAGAUUGAUGGAUUGUUCCGGUUAGAACCCAUAGGAAAUUUUAAUCCAGAAAUCAUCAACAAUUUGGGGCUCCUUGGCUUGGGAUACAAGGGACAGACUGAAAUGGAAUUGUGCAAUAACCUGACAUUUGCUAGGAAGAAGUAUCCUCUUCAGGGGCUCUAUGAAUUUGGUAUAAUCAGCACUUUCCUUCCUGGCAGCAUGGUUCCAUAUUGGUUCCGUAUUAAGAGUUUCGACUCCAAAAUGUCUUUCGCUGUACCUGCUUUUCCUAAUCUCAGAAUCAAAGGCUUUGAUGUUUGUGUUGUUUAUGCAUGCUCUGACCCCCACAAUGAUGGAAAAUUGCAUGAUUUUCAUCUUAAAAUUGGUAACAAGACCAAGGGUCUGGAAUGGACCUAUGCCCCAAUGUUCCAUACGAAUGGAGAUACGGUGUGGAUAAGCCAUUGGAAUCUCACUGAUCAGUUGCAUGCUGGUGAUGAAUUGAAUGUUUCAGUGGUUACUGGGGUUGGUUUCCAGGUAAAGGAAUGCGCAACAGAAUUUGUGCUCGAGCAAGUAGACGAAUUUAGCCAAUCAAAUAGUGGACAAGAAGUAAUCCAAGGCUGCGAAUUUCCUUAUCAAAGUGUCCUAGAUGGAGAUUUGUCAGAAUAUCAGAGCACCAAGGGUAUGUAUAUCCUUUGCAACUACAAUCAACAUCCAGACGUGCAUUUCUCCUCAGAACCAUUCGGGUGAUUGGUGGGAGGAUGUCUCGAGCUUCUACAUGCCUCCUCCUAUAGUACCUACAGCUACAGGUGGAUGAGAUGAAGAUGGUCUUGGAAAAGAUAAAAGGAGAUUUUGUGAAUUUGCAAAUCUUGAUCGGUUUUACAGACGUCUUUCUUAAUUUCCACAUUGGUCUCAUUGUUGCCUGAACUCAUGAGAAAAAUUAAACAACUUGUGACUAGUUUGGUUUUAGCUCGUUUAUGUCUAUUAAUUAAUUAAUUUAAAUGUAAUUUUAAAGCUCGUUUAAUAGAGGGGUUGAGUUCAAAUGUAAAAUUUUAUUGAAUUUGAUCAUGUUCGCGGGCAAAUUCA
This is an RNA transcript of Diospyros lotus (date-plum), 4295 nucleotides long. It is a transcript of the gene named disease resistance protein RUN1-like, with no coding region annotated. The transcript is spliced from 8 exons. Lineage: Eukaryota; Viridiplantae; Streptophyta; Magnoliopsida; Ericales; Ebenaceae. The record is from RefSeq and is a predicted model, not a curated record.